GACUUCUGGUUUAAUGCACACCUGGCCCGCGGCCCACAAGGCCUGUGAGUGCCGGCGCGCGUUUACCAUCCUUCCAGCUUAACUGGGCGGCUGGAACUGGAUCUUUUACUUUGAAAAAAUUAGAGUGUUUAAAGCAGGCGUUUGCUCUGAAUACAUAGCAUGGAAUAAUAAUCUAGGACUUCGGUAACUGAAGUCCUGAUUGAUAGGGAUAGUUGGGGGUGCAGUAUUGGCCGGUCAGAGGUGAAAUUCUUGGAGAUU
This 258-nucleotide ribosomal RNA is filed under the name uncultured Proleptomonas. Its description in RNAcentral is "partial 18S ribosomal RNA". The stretch from base 93 to 258 matches the Rfam family "Eukaryotic small subunit ribosomal RNA", at positions 739 to 928 of the family's 1831-position model. The record is from RNAcentral. Lineage: Eukaryota; Cercozoa; Glissomonadida.